Numida meleagris (helmeted guineafowl) is the source of this 2426-nucleotide long non-coding RNA. RefSeq lists it as uncharacterized. The transcript is spliced from 3 exons. The record is from RefSeq and is a predicted model, not a curated record. NCBI's taxonomy places the organism in Eukaryota, Metazoa, Chordata, Aves, Galliformes, Numididae.
CUACUCAUUUUUCAGGCUGAGGAUGGAUAAAUUGAUGGUCCCUCACUAAAUGGAAACAUGUUUUUCCCUUCAAGAGAUUUGUAUUUAUCCAACUUGUUUCUUGAAAGAAGACAAAAAUGCCAGAAACAAAGAUCAGAACUGAAGCGAUUUGUUUGUCUGGCUGCAGACUCACCCUGCCUUCAAAGUACAAUAUAUUUGUGUGGUCAGAUUGUCAGGUUCUACUCAUUAAAAAAACAAGUUCUUACUUUCUCAUGAACUCUCUUCUGGAUGAAACGUUAGAAUGAAUUCCAUUACGCUCAUCUUGUGCAGGAAUGAUCAAGGAGGCUGAUAUGUCAUUGGAGAGCAGGAGAGAGGUCACACAUGAAGCACGUCUUGUAUACUGCCUUGAAUUGAAGCUUCCCUGCUGCUCUGCCAGGCUAGUGGCUUUUCUGCACAGAAUUAGCUUCAGGCAGUGCCUUCAGAGAAGCCAGGUUAGCAUGACAGCUUGGCUAGAAGAAGGCAAAAAUCUUGAAAUAUGGCAGGAGAACUGAAAAAACUGAUAAGGGAAAGAACUUAUGGGAAGAGAAGAUAGAAAACAGAUAAAUCUGGAGAGGGGGAAGGCAGUCAUAAAAGGUCAGUAAAAUGCACGAUGGAGGAAGAUAGGACACAAUCUUUCAAUGUUUAAAGAACUUUUUUUAUACAUGUGAUAAUUAUGGCUACAUAAGCUGGUCUUAUGCAGCUAGAUUCUUUUCCCAGGAAACCUUUGAACUAUUUAAAUGUCUUAUUUUAUUUUUAUUUUUGGAUACUUUUCAGAGCUACUUAUUCGAAGAUCUCAGGCAACCUGUGAGUGAUAGUACUAAGGAAAUGUCAAGUGGCUAACAAAAUGGCCAGACAGCAUGGAUUCCUUGUGUUUAAUGGGACAUACCUGUCCCAGUCUGCUUUCAAUUCAGUUGUUAUGGUGAAGACAUGCAAAUCUGAAGAGGAAUCAGCAUCUUUCCUACCUCCUGAUGCCAUUCUCCCUGGGGGAGGAGGGAAAGAAUACAGACCCGUUUAUUUCAAAUAUCCCUCUUCUGAGGUGUUCUCCUAGAAUCUUAAAGUAUUUUCAUAUAUCUCUUUAACCAUGGUUUCACUUUUUCCUUGAAAUCUCAUUUAAGAGUGAUGGGUAAUUCUUAUUUGCUAUUUCUAUUUAGUAAUUCUUUACAUGCUUCGUAGUGAAGGUGAGGAUGAGUCUUAUUUUACAGUAGGGAAGGUGAGGUUGAAAGAGGCAAGAUAGUGUUGACCCUGUGGUCCUACUGUACCUGACUGGAAGUUUCCAGUAGGAAGUGUUCAGAGGUUGUUUGCCCAAGGUAGCAGAGGAGUGAGUGGUUAGAACAGCUGCCUGCCCUCUGUUUGCCUGCUCAUCAAAACUGGCCAGCUGAUGUGCUGCAAAUAUUCCUGAUGCAGGAGUGUUGUGUCCUGCUGGCUGUGGCCCACCACACACAGUCAGUCCCUUUGUGCACUUCAUUCAGCACUAGGCACAGGUGAGGCCGGGAUGCUCCCAUGUCAGUCCUGCACCUGAGGAUGUAUGGGAGGAAGCACUGUUUCUCAACACAGGAAAAGGCAUGGACAUUUCAGGGCAGUUUUUAAAAAUUCUUCUGGUGUUGCUUUUUGCAUUGUACCAUUCACGACAGAGCCCAGUUCUCAUAGGCAGGAGAGUGAAAGCGUUUCUAAGCUUCUCUCUGUCACAUCAUCUUGUCAGGAGAAUCUCUAAUAGCUAUUUUUUGUUCUCACAUUGGUUGAGUCAAAUCCAUUCCAUUCCAAAUUACUGCUCUGACAUUCAAACCUUUCAGGCAGACUGCCAGUUGUAGCACCUUAUUUUUCUGUUAGAAAAAGAGAAAAAAAAUAAACCACUGACAUGUAAUUAACAGAGCCAGAUUGAAUUUGAAAUCUGAAUGACACCCAUUAUUGAAUAAAGAGCUUCAAAUCCUUUGUUACAAGUCUUUUAACAUAGCAAUGGUAUCGAAAGAUUCAGAGAGGAUAGGAACUUGUUUUGCCUAACGUUGAUUCUGUAUGUGGACAAAUGCUCUUGUGUGUUGUUUCAUUAAAGGCAGACCUCUACAGGGCACGGGAAGCCUUGGAACAAAAUGGCAAAGAAAACUGGGUAGAAGGGAGCCUAUGCAGCAGUAAGACACCAAACACUCAGAAGUCCCAAGUUCUGUUUGCAGGCAUUGAGCUGAGCCCUGUGCAAGUGCUGCCUGUAUGGCUGUCCUGGCACCAGAAGUGCCACAUAGCUGCUGGGCAGGCUGCAAGUGGGAAGGUGAGUGUGGAGCCAUGAACUGUGCUUCUGCAAGUGUUGCACUUACGCUGGCCUUAGGGCUGUUAGACAUCUGUGGGAUAUAUGAGGUCUCUGACCGUUGUGCUGCACCUAGUUACAGUAAUGGAAGGAGGGGAGGGAAGAGAUUAAAACC